Molecule: ribosomal RNA, 425 nt
Filed under: uncultured bacterium
Lineage: Bacteria
Description: partial 16S ribosomal RNA
Rfam family: Bacterial small subunit ribosomal RNA
Source: RNAcentral
GUGGGGAAUCUUGCGCAAUGGGCGAAAGCCUGACGCAGCCAUGCCGCGUGAAUGAUGAAGGUCUUAGGAUUGUAAAAUUCUUUCACCGGGGACGAUAAUGACGGUACCCGGAGAAGAAGCUCCGGCUAACUUCGUGCCAGCAGCCGCGGUAAUACGAAGGGGGCUAGCGUUGCUCGGAAUUACUGGGCGUAAAGGGCGCGUAGGCGGACAGCUUAGUCAGAGGUGAAGGCCCAGGGCUCAACCUUGGAAUUGCCUUUGAUACUGGCUGUCUUGGGUUUGGGGGAGGGGAGUGGAACUCCGAGUGUAGAGGUGAAAUUCAUAGAUAUUCGGAAGAACACCAGUGGCGAAGGCGACUCACUGGCCCAAUACUGACGCUGAGGCGCGAAAGCGUGGGGAGCAAACAGGAUUAGAAACCCUAGUAGUCC